RNAcentral lists this ribosomal RNA (119 nucleotides) under Pteropus alecto (black flying fox). Lineage: Eukaryota; Metazoa; Chordata; Mammalia; Chiroptera; Pteropodidae. The record is from RNAcentral. RNAcentral also lists the same sequence under 1 other name.
AGAUACGGCCAUGCCACCCUGAAUGUGCCCGAUCUCGUCUGAUCUCAGAGGCUAAGCAGGGUCAGGCCUGGUUAGUACUUGGAUGGGAGACCACCUAGGAAUACCAGCUGCUGUAGGCG